This is an RNA transcript of Arachis duranensis, 4422 nucleotides long. It is a transcript of the gene named putative disease resistance RPP13-like protein 1, with no coding region annotated. The record is from RefSeq and is a predicted model, not a curated record. The transcript has 4 exons. Lineage: Eukaryota; Viridiplantae; Streptophyta; Magnoliopsida; Fabales; Fabaceae.
CCACAUUACAAUAAUACUUCUCUGGCCUGCUACCACUUCCAUACUGUGUUUGUGAGAGAAUUCUGAGUUUGGAGUGCAAACAGAAACCACUUCCCUUUCUUACUUUCUUGAUCUUGUGAGCAUGGCUGCAUCACUUGUUGGAGGAGCUUUCCUCUCUUCUUUUCUCAGUGUUCUUUUCGACAGGCUGUCUGAUCCAGAGAUCAUCAACAUGAUGCGAGGAAAGAAGGUUGACCAAAAGCUGCUUCAAAGGCUGAAGACCAUUCUGAAUGUGGUUGAAGCUGUGCUGAAUGAUGCUGAGAAGAAACAGAUCACUGACCCUGCUGUCAAGAGGUGGCUCGAAGAUCUCCAAGAUGCUGUCUAUGAUGCUGAUGACUUGUUGGAUGAAGUCGCCACCAAAGCUGCCACUCAGAAGGAUCCACCAGGUAACUUUCUGUCUCGCUUUCUCAAUUUGCAAGAUAGGGAGAUGGUUACUAGGAUUGAAGAAAUCAUUGCUAGACUAGAAGAUAUUGCAAAACACAAAGAUAUCCUUCGUCUAGAAAAGAUUGCAGCCAAGAACAUGUCUGGGAGGAUUCCAUCAACCUCACUGGUUAAAAAAUCUGAUAUAUUUGUUGGAAGGGACAAAGAAAGGGAUGCCAUAGUGAAUUUGCUUUUAGAUGAUGCUUACAAUGGUGAACUGUCCGUGAUUCCCAUCGUGGGCAUGGGUGGGAUAGGAAAAACUACUUUGGCUAAAUUGGUUUAUAAUGAUGACACCGUGCAACAAAAGUUUCAUGUCAAGGCAUGGGUUUGUGUUGGUGAGGAGGAAUUUGAUGUUCUGAAGGUCACAAAGGCGGUGAUAGAGAAAACUUGCAGUGCUUGUUACUCAAAUGAUUUAGAUACAGCUCAAAAUCAUUUGAAGAAUGAGCUAGCGGGGAAGAACUUCUUGGUUGUUCUGGAUGAUGUAUGGAGCAGUAAUCGUGAGCGUUGGGAAAAUUUUCUAACUCCUUUUGAAUGUGGAAGUCAGGUCUGCAAGAUUCUUGUAACAACACGUCUUGAUACAGUUGCUUCUGUGGUGAAAACUAAACAUAAUGAAGCUCACAAUAUGAGUUUGUUGGAGGAAGAACAAUGCUGGUCAGUGUUUGCAAAUCGAGAAUGGGAUCCUGCAGAAUCCCGAGAUCAUUCAACUUUAGAAGAAAUUGGUAGAAAAAUUGUUAAAAAAUGUAAAGGAUUACCUUUGGCAGCUCAAACAGUUGGAGGGUUAUUGAGAGGGAAAGAUAAUGAAAAGGAUUGGAAUGAAGUUUUGAAUAGUGAAUUCUGGGAACUGUCUGAGGAGGAUAGUGGGAUUCUUCCUGCAUUGAGAAUCAGUUAUUACCACCUCCCAUCCUAUUUAAAACGCUGCUUUGUUUAUUGUUGUUUGUAUCCGAAGGACUUUGAAUUUGAUAGAGAUGAAUUGACAUUAUUGUGGAUGGCAGAAGGUCUUUUACUACAACUAAAGAGUGGAAACACUUUGGAAGAAACUGGUUAUGAAUAUUUUGAUGAUUUGGUUUCGAGAUCAUUUUUUCAACAUUCUAACACUUAUGUGAAUUCAUUUGUGAUGCACGAUCUCAUGCAUGAUUUAGCAAAGUUCUAUGGUGGAAAGUUCUUUUCUAGUAUCCUUGAACUCAAGAAUCCAGCAAAGCAUGAUACCAGAACUCGCCACUUGUCAUGUGCUCGCCGCAAGAAUGACGAUGAUGAUUUGCUUAUGAAGAUCACGGAAGCAUGCGAUAGGUUAAAACAUGCGAGGACAUUGUUGCAAAUUUAUAAUGAAUAUGGUCUAUUCUCAGUGGGAGAUAGAGUAGCCGUUUCUUGUGACUUACUAGAACAAUUAAAGUGUUUACGAGUUUUGUCAUUUAAUUUUUUUUCAGAUGAUGAAAACUUGAUGCAUGGUUCUAUUGCCAAAUUGAUCCAUUUGCGUUAUUUGGAUCUUUCAUACACAUCCAUCGUGACUUUGCCCGAGUCUUUGAGUUGCUUGUACAAUUUACAAACCUUGAAGUUGAGAAAGUGUAGAAAACUUAGAAAGCUUCCUAGCAAGAUGCAAAAUCUUGUGAAUUUGCGUCAUCUUGAUGUUUUUGAAACUGGUUUGGAAGAGAUGCCAAAAAAGAUGAGCGAAUUAAAAGAUUUGCAAAUUUUAAGUUGCUAUAUUGCGGGCAAACAUGAAGAGAAUGGGAUUGGAGAAUUGGGAGAGCUAGCACAUCUUCAUGGAUCAUUAUGGAUUCAGAAAUUAGAGAAUGUUAAGAAUAGUGGUGAAGCAUCGAGUGCAAGAAUGGAUGAAAAAAUACACCUGAAUGCUUUAGAUUUCAGUUGGACAUCAUUUGAAGAAAGUGAGGUUCGUGAUUCCCAAACUGAAAAAGAUAUACUUGAGAAAUUACGUCCUCACAAAGACUUGAAGGAGCUAUCCAUCGGGGGUUACAGAGGUACGAUGUUUCCGGAUUGGGUAGGGCAGUCUUCGUACCACAACAUGACUGUGUUGCAGCUGAGUGGAUGCAGGAAUUGUUGGAUGCUUCCUUCACUUGGACAGUUACCCGCUCUAACGAGAUUGCUGAUUUCAGGUUGUGAUAAACUGAAGAUGAUUGGUGGCUCAUUCUAUAAGGCUGAUGCAACUCAUCAGCAUCAGGAGACACCCUUCCGAUCCCUUAGAUCUUUGGACUUUCGUCAUAUGCGUUGCUUGGAGGAAUGGGAGUCGUAUGCAUGUGAUGAUGAUGAUGAUGCACCAUUUCCGAAACUUGAGACGCUUAUUAUAGAGAACUGCCCUAAGUUAAGAGGAGAUUUGCCCACUUUCCUUCCAUCUUUGAAAGAACUUGUCAUAUCAGGAUGUGAGGAGCUUAGUUGUUAUCUGCCAAGAGCUCCCAUCAUACUCCGAAUAAACAUAUUAGGCAAACAGAAAGCAAGAAUGCGGGACCUACCACUUUCACUGCAACAUCUAAGUAUCGAAGGAAAGCAGCCUGUGGAUUUUCUGUUUGAGGCCAUGACCCACACCCAACCAACCUCUCUCAGAUAUUUAAGAAUCUCAAAGUGCUCGUCAGCCAUAUCAUUUCCAGGGGAUUCUUUGCCCCCUUCAUUGAAACAGUUGCGGAUCAAUAACUGCAAGAAUGUAGAAUUCCCAAUGCAACACCAACAACAUCAUUCGCUAAUGGAAUUAGAAAUAGACAACAGCUGUGAUUCACUUACAUCCUUCCCAUUGUCAGCGUUCCCAAAUCUCAAGUCCCUCAUAAUCGCAAGACGAGAAAACUUGACAUCUCUAGAGGAGCUGUCACAAUCACAGUCCCUUCGAGAAUUACGGGUUGAAGAAUGCCCUAAGCUGGAGAACAUAAUAAGGCUGCCUGCCUGUUUAAGGGAACUCGACAUCAGCAAAUGUCCGUUGUUGGGUGAAGGCAUAGAGAGGAAGGACCCUCACAUUUGGCCAUCCAUUUCCCACAUCCCCGGUAUUUAUGUCGAUGGGAAACAGAUUCACAAUGACUCAACAUCUUAAAACAGCAAAAUCAUAUUCCUACAAUGGUUAUCAGAUGAAGACAUUGAUGUGGUUGAUUCCCAAAUUGAAAGAGAUGUGCUUGACAAGUUACAUCCUCACAAAGACUUGAAGGAGCUAAGAAUCAAGGGCUACUGAGGUACAAUGUUUCCAGAAAUAGACAACAGUUGUGAGUUGUGAUUCACUUACAUCCUUCAUGUUCCCAGCAUUUCCAAAUCUCAGACUUCUGACAAUCAAAAGAUGUGAAAAUUUGAGAUCUCUUGAGAUGGUGUCAGAGUUACAGUUCCUCUGGCAAUUAUCAAUUAAGAGAUGUCCUAUGCUGGAGAACAUAAGGCUACCUGCCUUUUUAAGCGAUCUCAGAAUCGGUGGAUGUCCAUUGUUAGGUGAACUUAUAUGGAGGAAGGAUCCCCACAUUUGGCAUACUAUAUCCUGCUUCUGGAGACAGAUUUCAUGAUGAUUCAACAUUUUAAAACAGUUUAAGACAAUGGAAAAAGGCAGGCAUUGUAGAAUCAUGGAAACACUUUCUUCUAGCAUUGUACAUUGAGCACAGCUUAUUGGGACAGAGGAUGAAGGAGAUGAAUCUUGAGAGAGCUAUAAUAUAUGGCUGGAAGGAUCUUGAUGUGAUCAUAGAUGCUUUGGGAAAAAUGAUGAUUGAUGAAUUGAGUGAAGUUAUUAUCAAGAUUCUACAUGGAUGGAAGGAAAUUGGUGUGUAACCAGCAACCACUCACCAGCCCUUACUCUUUCUCAACUGAAAAAUGAACUGAAUGUGUAACCUACAAAGUGUGCAUUCAGAUUUGUUGAUAGAAUAAAUAAUUUGGAUUGCUUAGCUGAGUCAAUUAGUGAGAUGCAUUAUGCCAUUUGAUUUAGAAUCAAGUUUUCUGUCUCGUUUUGUGAUUUUAUUAUUAGUUACUAAAAUGACAUGUUACACUUUUCUGUGUGAA